This is a long non-coding RNA of Melanotaenia boesemani (Boeseman's rainbowfish), 101 nucleotides long. RefSeq lists it as uncharacterized. NCBI's taxonomy places the organism in Eukaryota, Metazoa, Chordata, Actinopteri, Atheriniformes, Melanotaeniidae. The record is from RefSeq and is a predicted model, not a curated record. The transcript is spliced from 3 exons.
GAUUACCUACUGUCAUUUCCACCUCGACCCCCUGACAGCCGCCAGAGAGUGUAGGUUUGAAACCUUCAUGCUGAUGAGGCAGAGGGCCCUCUUUCCCAGCC